This 492-nucleotide ribosomal RNA is filed under the name uncultured bacterium. RNAcentral's name for it is "partial 16S ribosomal RNA". It matches the Rfam family "Bacterial small subunit ribosomal RNA", at positions 29 to 507 of the family's 1533-position model. The record is from RNAcentral.
AGUGAACGCUGGCGGUAGGCCUAACACAUGCAAGUCGAACGGCAGCACAGUAAGAGCUUGCUCUUACGGGUGGCGAGUGGCGGACGGGUGAGGAAUACAUCGGAAUCUACUUUUUCGUGGGGGAUAACGUAGGGAAACUUACGCUAAUACCGCAUACGACCUACGGGUGAAAGCAGGGGAUCUUCGGACCUUGCGCGAUUGAAUGAGCCGAUGUCGGAUUAGCUAGUUGGCGGGGUAAAGGCCCACCAAGGCGACGAUCCGUAGCUGGUCUGAGAGGAUGAUCAGACACAUUGGAAGUGAGACAGGGCCCAGACUCCUAGGGGGGGACGCGGUGGAGAAUAUUGGAGAAGGGGGGCAAGCCUGAUCCAGCAAUACGGGGGGAGUGAAGAAGGCCUCGGGCUGGUAAAGCCCUUUUGUUGGGAAAGAAAAAAAGCAGGUUCAUCCCCCGCUGUUCUGACGGUACCAAAAGAAUAAGCCCCGGCUAACUCCGUG